This is a long non-coding RNA of Rhipicephalus sanguineus (brown dog tick), 606 nucleotides long. RefSeq lists it as uncharacterized. The record is from RefSeq and is a predicted model, not a curated record. NCBI's taxonomy places the organism in Eukaryota, Metazoa, Arthropoda, Arachnida, Ixodida, Ixodidae. The transcript has 2 exons.
UUUUGGCUGUGCUUUGUGAUCGUCUGUUGAAGCACCGUUUCACCAUGGGGCGGUAUGCGAGCUUUACUGCCGCGUUCAAGCUGAAGGCGCUUGAUUAAGCGCUAGAGCACGGAAACCGUGCUGCCGGCAGACAUUUCGGCGUCGACGAAAUCCGGAUCCGAUAUUGGAAAAAACAGCGCGAGAAGCUCAUGGCUAUGAACAGCAUGCGCCGGGCUUUCCGCGGACCCAAAACGGGCAAGUUCCCUGACAUCGAAAAGGCAGUCCUCGAAUACGUGAGGGACAUGCGCAAAGACGGUUGUGCCGUGUCGCUAGACAUGGUACGGAUGCAGGCGCGCACAGUUUCCCGGAGGCUGGGAAUAGCCACAAAGGACUUCCGCGCCAGUUCCGGCUGGACGACACGCUUCAUGCGGCGGAAUGGACUAAGACUGGCAUUUCCAACGCGCUCGACGGGACAGAAGAUGACCGUCUGUGGGACAGUGAAGACACUGCCGAUUCCGACAGGGAAUCGUGCGGCGACGACACUGACGCCAGUGACGCUUCGGACUCAGAAUGAACGUUAGGGGGUCAGAGAGUUCAAAAAUAAAAGGGCAGUGUUCCAUGCAUGUA